Molecule: ribosomal RNA, 494 nt
Filed under: uncultured bacterium
Lineage: Bacteria
Description: bacterial SSU rRNA
Rfam family: Bacterial small subunit ribosomal RNA
Source: RNAcentral
GGCUCAGGAUGAACGCUAGCGGCAGGCUUAAUACAUGCAAGUCGUGGGGCAGCAGGUUUGUAGCAAUACAGAUGCUGGCGACCGGCAAACGGGUGCGGAACACGUACAGAACCUUCCUUUGAGCGGGGAAUAGCCCAGAGAAAUUUGGAUUAAUACCCCAUAGUAUAAUGAAGUGGCAUCACUUUAUUAUUAAAGAUUUAUCACUCGAAGAUGGCUGUGCGGCUGAUUAGGUAGUUGGCGGGGUAAAUGCCCACCAAGCCUGCGAUCAGUAACUGGUGUGAGAGCACGACCAGUCACACGGGCACUGAGACACGGGCCCGACUCCUACGGGAGGCAGCAGUAAGGAAUAUUGGUCAAUGGAGGCAACUCUGAACCAGCCAUGCCGCGUGGAGGAUGAAGGUCCUCUGGAUUGUAAACUUCUUUUAUAUGGGACGAAAAAGGCUUUUCUAAGUCGUCUGACGGUACCAUAUGAAUAAGCACCGGCUAACUCCGUG